CCUACGGGUGGCUGCAGUGAGGAAUAUUGGUCAAUGGGCGUAAGCCUGAACCAGCCAUCCCGCGUGAAGGAAGAAGGCGCUAUGCGUCGUAAACUUCUUUUCCAGAGGAAUAAAAUUUCGUACGUGUACGGAACUGAAGGUACUUUGGGAAUAAGCAUCGGCUAACUCCGUGCCAGCAGCCGCGGUAAUACGGAGGAUGCGAGCGUUAUCCGGAUUUAAUGGGUUGAAGUGGUGCGUAUAAGGAUUUAGUGAAAACCUUCAGCUUAACUGGAGAACUGCCAUUGAUACUGUUAGUCUUGAGUACGGUCAAGGUAGGCGGAAUGUGUAAUGUAGCGGUGAAAUGCUUAGAUAUUACACAGAACACCGAUUGCGAAGGCAGCUUACUGGGCCAUUACUGACGCUGAUGCACGAAAGCGUGGGGAGCGAACAGGAUUAGAUACCCUGGUAGUC
This 450-nucleotide ribosomal RNA is filed under the name uncultured bacterium. Its description in RNAcentral is "partial 16S ribosomal RNA". It matches the Rfam family "Bacterial small subunit ribosomal RNA", at positions 338 to 795 of the family's 1533-position model. The record is from RNAcentral.